Long non-coding RNA from Oncorhynchus gorbuscha (pink salmon), 314 nucleotides. RefSeq lists it as uncharacterized. The record is from RefSeq and is a predicted model, not a curated record. NCBI's taxonomy places the organism in Eukaryota, Metazoa, Chordata, Actinopteri, Salmoniformes, Salmonidae. The transcript is spliced from 3 exons.
GAGAGAGAACACUUUCUAAAACAAUAAACUAAUCAACGUCGGAAACCGAAGAAACAACUCGACUUACAGGGCACCGAAGGGCCAAUCGGGCCUCACGCAUUGACAGACAGUCUAAUGGGCAUCGCCGGUUGGUCCUCUUCUAACUGGAGGGGUGCGUCACUUGAGCGGUUUGAGUCUGGGAUCUUCCUGUCUGGGUUGGCGCCCCCCUUUGGGUUGUACCGUGAGGGUGAUCUUUAUGGGCUAUAUUCGGCCUUGUCUCAGGAUGGACCUGAGCCCUAGGACCAUGCCUCAGGACUACCUGGCAUGAUGACUCC